Molecule: long non-coding RNA, 1172 nt
Organism: Acanthochromis polyacanthus (spiny chromis)
Lineage: Eukaryota; Metazoa; Chordata; Actinopteri; Pomacentridae
Exons: 2
Source: RefSeq, a predicted model, not a curated record
GUUUGUUCUGAAAUAGAGAAGAGAUAAAGUUGAAAUAAGGAUCAUGUCAUAAUACCCACCCACACACCUGUGGGCAGACAGUAUGUGACACUAUUACAUGAGAUAACAUAAUACCUCAUGACAGUCUUGCAAGACAUGACUAGAUGUUACACGUCUGAGUCUGCACCAGCAUUUCACAGCUCUUAAUGAAGACAACUGCACUUUAAAAUGGCAUUUGUGUCUAAUUACAGAAUCUUUUCUUGCUACCUAAAUGUAAACACAGAAGUUAUGUGAAUCUCGAGUUAUUUCAGUUUGAAACAUCCUGCUUUUUGUCAGAUAAAGAUAGACAGAUGAGGUCUUUUGACUUAGAAUUACAAGUUGAAAUAAUCUACAGCUGAAAUCAAUUCAUUAAAUCAAGUUUAAAAGAAACACGACUAUAGACCCAGCAGAUUUCCCACCAUGCAGACACUUUGUAGCUGUCUCACAAUGAAAGAUGUGUGAAAUCCUGUUUCUUUCUUUGCCUAAUAAUGUCAGCAGUAAAAACCAUGAGGUCAAAGUCACUUGAUACUCACUGUGCACCCUUUUUAAAACAAAGAAACAGGAAGCUGCCAUAUCUUGUCUCAAAUCUAAACUGAUUUCAACACUUGAAGGUGAUAGUAUUUCAUGUCAGAUAAAGAAUUGAGUAUUUAAAUGAGAAAAUGUAGAAGGAAAGCGAGUUGCAGCUGAUUCAAUGAUACAUCUUAAGCUGGCUGAACUUGCUCAGCUAAUUUUACAUGUCAGGUUCACUUAACUCACAUUUUUAAGGCUGUGGGGGAAUUUGAAGUGUUUUAAAACUGCUGUAGUUGUCACAGAACUUUUUUUUUUACAUUUUUGUUACAAUAAAUGUGUGUUUUGAAUGAUCUGUUUUUUUGCUCUGUAUUUUCACUUCUUGUUUGUGCUUCCUACACAGAGAUAAAUGAAAAACAAGUUUCUUCACAGCUUCCUCUUGCAGGCUUGCAAGCAUCCUAUCUCGUCACUCAUAUGCAAUGAGUAAUGCAAGUUGGACUCUGCAACGGGUACAUGGAGUUUGUUCAUUGGUGGCGGAGUCAAACCAACUCCCUAAUUAAGAUGUCUUCUGGCUUUGCAACAAACUGUUUGCCUGAUGAAGGUCUAGCAUUGAAACACUGCACCAAUAAAUGCAUUUUUGCAGGUUA